Molecule: non-coding RNA, 240 nt
Organism: Pantherophis guttatus
Lineage: Eukaryota; Metazoa; Chordata; Lepidosauria; Squamata; Colubridae
Source: RefSeq, a predicted model, not a curated record
GGGAAAGCUCCUUAAAAGCACUUCUAAAAAUGGAGAGUGCACUUAAGUCUGCGAAAGAUAAUCUUAGUUGGCAGCCCAUUGAAAGAAAAGAGCAGACUUGUAGUCGAAGACUGACUGGCUGGAGAAAAGAGUGCAUUCUUCAAAUUCUUAGUUCCUGCCUGUACAAAAUAUGACCCUGCCUUCUUCUUUUUGGGAGAUUCAUCAUAAAGGACUUUGUAUCUUAUUCUCUGCAUGACUGCC